Physeter macrocephalus (sperm whale) is the source of this 347-nucleotide long non-coding RNA. RefSeq lists it as uncharacterized. NCBI's taxonomy places the organism in Eukaryota, Metazoa, Chordata, Mammalia, Artiodactyla, Physeteridae. The record is from RefSeq and is a predicted model, not a curated record. The transcript has 3 exons.
CAACUACAGGAAGUGCUGAGACACCAUCUCUGGGGCUCAGGAAAAAUUGCUCUUGAAGUCUGCAGCCUUUGAGUCACCUCGGACUAUUGGAAUCAGCCAUUUCUUUAAAGAGGUCUGCUUCUCUUUUAACUGGAUAUUAGAAACAAGAUCUGGAUUUCAGCUAUUCUCCUUGCUACUGAGGUUUUAUGUGGACAAGAGUUUUCAAAAAUCUGGAAGUUCCAUUGAUGGAUCAUAUGGAAAGAUUAUUUACAUUUGUAAAAAACUGACAGACUGUUUUCCAAAGUGGCAGUACCAUUUUGCAUUUCCACCAGCAAUGAAUGAGAGUCCCUGACGCUCCACAACAUCAG